This 1470-nucleotide ribosomal RNA is filed under the name metagenome. RNAcentral describes it as "bacterial SSU rRNA". It matches the Rfam family "Bacterial small subunit ribosomal RNA". The record is from RNAcentral.
AGAGUUUGAUCAUGGCUCAGGACGAACGCUGGCGGCACGCUUAACACAUGCAAGUCGAACGAGAGAAGAGGAGCUUGCUUUUCUGAUCUAGUGGCGGACGGGUGAGUAACACGUGAGCAAUCUGCCUUUCAGAGGGGGAUACCGAUUGGAAAUGAUCGUUAAUACCGCAUAACAUAAUUGAACCGCAUGAUUUGAUUAUCAAAGAUUUAUCGCUGAAAGAUGAGCUCGCGUCUGAUUAGCUAGUUGGUAAGGUAACGGCUUACCAAGGCGACGAUCAGUAGCCGGACUGAGAGGUUGAUCGGCCACAUUGGGACUGAGACACGGCCCAGACUCCUACGGGAGGCAGCAGUGGGGAAUAUUGCACAAUGGAGGAAACUCUGAUGCAGCGAUGCCGCGUGAGGGAAGAAGGUUUUAGGAUUGUAAACCUCUGUCUUCAGGGACGAAAAAAGACGGUACCUGAGGAGGAAGCUCCGGCUAACUACGUGCCAGCAGCCGCGGUAAUACGUAGGGAGCGAGCGUUGUCCGGAAUUACUGGGUGUAAAGGGAGCGUAGGCGGGAUCGCAAGUCAGAUGUGAAAACUAUGGGCUUAACCCAUAAACUGCAUUUGAAACUGUGGUUCUUGAGUGAAGUAGAGGUAAGCGGAAUUCCUAGUGUAGCGGUGAAAUGCGUAGAUAUUAGGAGGAACAUCAGUGGCGAAGGCGGCUUACUGGGCUUUAACUGACGCUGAGGCUCGAAAGCGUGGGGAGCAAACAGGAUUAGAUACUCUGGUAGUCCACGCCGUAAACGAUGAUUACUAGGUGUGGGGGGACUGACCCCUUCCGUGCCGCAGCAAACGCAAUAAGUAAUCCACCUGGGGAGUACGACCGCAAGGUUGAAACUCAAAGGAAUUGACGGGGGCCCGCACAAGCAGUGGAGUAUGUGGAUUAAUUCGAAGCAACGCGAAGAACCUUACCAGGUCUUGACAUCGUAUGCAUAGCUCAGAGAUGAGUGAAAUCUCUUCGGAGACAUAUAGACAGGUGGUGCAUGGUUGUCGUCAGCACGUGUCGUGAGAUGUUGGGUUAAGUCCCGCAACGAGCGCAACCCUUACUGUUAGUUGCUACGCAAGAGCACUCUAGCAGGACUGCCGUUGACAAAACGGAGGAAGGUGGGGAUGACGUCAAAUCAUCAUGCCCCUUAUGACCUGGGCCUCACACGUACUACAAUGGCUGUCAACAGAGGGAAGCAAAGCCGCGAGGUGGAGCGAACCCCUAAAAGCAGUCUUAGUUCGGAUUGUAGGCUGCAACCCGCCUACAUGAAGUCGGAAUUGCUAGUAAUCGCAGAUCAGCAUGCUGCGGUGAAUACGUUCCCGGGCCUUGUACACACCGCCCGUCACGCCAUGGGAGUCGGUAACACCCGAAGCCUGUAGUCUAACCGCAAGGAGGACGCAGUCGAAGGUGGGAUUGAUGACUGGGGUGAAGUCGUAACAAGGUA